UUGAAUAUUUGUAGGAAACUAACGACCUAAUGGUCUUUCCCAUGAAAAAUAUCUCUGCUAAAUGCCGUAUUUGUCGGUGUGCUACAGAUGUGUACGUACUGACCCGAAAUUUCUCUUUCCAUAUCCAUAUCCAUAUCCAAUAUCCAUAUAGUAGAAAGAGGCCAAAGAAAACCCUCAGCAAAUUCAAUGGCGACUACUGCAUUUCUUCAUCCUGCUGCGAGUUGCAGCGUUGUUUCUUCAUCUUGUCAUCUUAAAAGGAAGGAAGCCAUUUGCCGUAAUCUGCCUCUCAUUCGUUUGCUAUCGAUCUUUCAAAGCUCCGACAUCUUGAAAUCGAUCUUCCUCCAGCAUUACCUUUGACGCAUCUCCGACCAACCUGUACUAUGCUCCCAAUAAAUAGACCCCUGUAGAACUUCGAAACCUUAAUCUUUUUCUUGAACACCCAACACCAAACGUUACCAUCACUUUGUCAACAUGCAUUAACUGACGCAGACCAUAAAAUUGAAGUAAUGAAAGUUAAGUAUACCUUUGUAAGGCUUCAAAUACUUUUAGUUUUACUAAACCCUAAACCCUUUUAAUUUUACUUUGCUCUCUGACUUAGGUGGUAGCUGCAGAGCUUAAGGAAGAUGAGGUGGCUUUGGUGAAGGUGGAUGCCACUGAGGAGAUGGAUUUCGCUCAGAAGUUUGAUGUUCUGGGUUUUCGAUACUGUACUUCUAUGUUGAUGGGGUGCAUAAACCCUACCCUGGUAAAUGAACCAGUUAAGUUUUCAUGUUUAUACAGGAUGAAUCUCAUGUAUUUACGGUUUCAUACGUGAAGAUGAAUGAAUUAAUAUGGUUUUAUUGCGUGGAUAUUUUGAUUUGGAUUAUGUGCAUUUAGGGAUAGAACUAGAGUAAGAAUUUAGGGUGGACUAAAUGUUAGAACAAUGUCAAUCCUAAUACGAAAUACUAGAUUACCCCUUCUCAUGGUAGUAACUUUUUGAUCUUAAUCUUUUUUGUUUAGUUUCUGCAUCUAACUGUCCUAUAGAAGACUAAUACUUUUUAAAGUAGAAUGAAUUAUUUAAAUUGUAUUCAUUUUAUGAGUUCAUAUGUUGUUAGAACUGGAUGUUACAUUAUACUAAAUUGCUCGUCUUGAUGAUUUAUGUUGUAGAGAUGCUAUAAUUAAUUGGUUGAACAAAAAGACAAUCCCCGCUCUGUAUGGUAUCACAACGAACGCAACUUGGCUGUAGAAGGAAAAAUAGUAUUGGGUUAUUUAGAGAGCUUGGUGGUAUGACUUCUAUUGCUGUUCAAAUUGUUGUCGUAUUUUAGAGAGUGUAUUUACUACUCAUUUGCCCAAAAUAUUAGAUGAACUUGCAUAUGCUUCAAAGCUGAAAGAUGAUGUUAGCUUCUACCAAAUGAUGAGUCCUGAUGUAGCAAAACUCUUCCAUAAUGAUCCCAAAGACAAACGUCUAGCUUUGUUCAUUAUUAACAAGGUCCUUAUUCAUUUUGGUAGUCAAAAUUUCCUUAACAUCACUUUUAAUAAUAAUCUCUUAUUUAUACAGACAGACAGUUCACUAAAUCAGCAAUUGCUGAAUUUGUGUUUGAGAAGAAACUCCCUCUUGUCACCAACUUUACUCGAGAAAGUAAGUUUAUGCAUACCUUAAACCGAUAACAAAAUGAGCAUUUAUUUCUAUUGUGAUGAUGUGGAUGGUGGAAACAAUGUUGAGCAUUUUUAUUUAUUGCAAGCAAAUUUCAUCUGGAUGUCAUUCUUGUUGGUAUAUGCGUCACUAUAUAUUCGAUACAUCUACUUCUCUGGAUAUGAACUUGUGAGAUUUAUAAUUGGAAAGCUCUCCUUCCUAAAUACAGAAAACGUCUUGAUGCACAGAGAUGCUGCACAAAUGACUGCCUUGGAAGCAAUGCAAGAGGAUUCUGCUGCAGAAACUUUUCAUAAAUGUCUAAGGUAUUAUCUUCAAAGUGAAAUCUUGAAAAGUUGUUAAUUUCCUUUAAUCAAAAUAAUUUUAAGGCAUACCUACCAGUUAUCAAUUUGUCUUCAGUUCUUGGCAGCAUUUCUAAGGAUAAAGAACCUUUUAAGUAUUUGGGCUGCCUCAUAUUCUUGGUCCAUAAUAUUUGGGCCUAUGUUGUUGAGUGUGGAUAAUUGUUCAACCCUGGUGAAGAAAACGUGAUCCUUUUAAACACGCCUCUUCAAUUCAUUGAUGCUUGAUCAGGCCGUACACUUGGCGAUCUCCCAACUGUUGAUCUGUGGCUCUUUGACUUACAGCUUAAAGUAGUGUUUGGCCAUUCAUUUUAGAGACGGUUGAACUUUGUGUUUUAGGGUUUUCUCUUCUUCUUCUCUCUAACCACACCAUAUAUUCUUUGUGAGUUUCUUGAUCUGAAAAUCUGAGUGAUUCUGAGAUUCUAUACUUGAUGUAUACUGUGAGAAAGAUUCUUAGUGAUUUGGUGUAGUUUUGUAAUGUGUGUUGAGGCUAGAGGAAACAUCGAAGAAAUCUCUGAUUUCUUCGUACGUAUUCUUGGUGAUUUCUUAGUGGAUCUAGAGCUUUACCUACUUGUGGAUGCUCAACAAGUGAGUAGGUCGUAAGAUUGAACAUCCGGGCCCUUUGUGGCGAAAAAUUCCUCGUGUUCUUGAUUCUUUUUAAUUUUCUGCAAUUUUAAUACAUUUUAUUUCUGAAAAUACAAUUUUAAACUAGAUCCUGAUACCAACAAGUGAUGUCAGAGCCUUCUCUUUUUAAAAGAAUUGUAUUAAGGUUUGGUUUUUCAAACAAAACGAUUGUACUCUUUUGAAAAUUGCAGAUUUGAUAUUGGAACAGGGUUUUCUGUGAUAAGAAAAUUGUUUUUCUUGAAAGUUUUUUACUAAUCUAUCUUCAAUCCAACUUUCUGGUUGGAUCUCUUUAAGGAUUGGAAUACCCCUUUUGUGUAGAUCUGUGAGAUCUACGGUGAUUAGUUGACACCAUGUUCUAUUCAAACUUUUCUUUGGAAAAUCAUUGUAACUCGCUCUUGACUUGUAACAAUCUGUUGUUUCUGCUGAUUUGUGGUGAUUUUCGAGUUGACUCAUUAUCGAGUCUUGCUGGUUCUUGUGACUCGUACUGAGUUCCUAGUGAGUUGGGUCGACUCUGUUCGAUUCCUACCGAGUUCAUGCUGAGUCUUUAUGACUCGUUGAUUUCCUGCAUGAAUACUGAAAUUCUUGGUUCACUUCUGGUAUACUUUAGACUCUCUCCUUACUGUUGAUCACCUGUGUUAAUUUUUUGAGCCGGUUAUUAAGGUAAGUUUCCCUCCAGUACUUUCCUUUAUCCAAGAUCUCAUACGAGGAUCUAGGAAUAUGAUGGAGUAUUGGAAUUAAGCGUUACCACCCCUUAAACCAUUUCAAAAUUGGCAAUUGCAUUUUUACUUUCAAUUUCUAUGAUCUUGUUAUUGCAUUUAUCACAAUGUCUACUGCAUAUAAACUUGAAAUUGAAACCUAGAAUGGUACUGGAGACUUUAGUCUCUGGUGCCAGAAAAUGAGAGCUCUGUCGUUACAACGGAGAUGUAGUGCUGCACUUGAUGAUAAUUGGCCUGCUGAAACUAGUGCUUAUAGGAUAAGAGAGUUAGAUGAUAUUGCCCGGAGUUCUAUUUUCCUUCAUCUUUCUGACAGUGUAAUUAGGAAAGUAGGUGAAACAACUUCUGCCGAGGCUUUAUGGACUAAAUUGGAAACCUUUUAUCUAACUAAAUCCGUACCUAACAAAUGUUAUCUUUUGAGGCAGUUUUAUAAUUUUAGAUUUGAUUCUUCCUCUGUCCUAGAAGAGAACAUUGAUAGAUUCACAAAACUAGUUGAGAUGAAGAAUCAUCUGAAGGCCAACAAGUUGUUGCCUUACUGAACUCUCUAAGUGACAGAUAUAGGGAAAUUAGAAAUGCCUAGGAGUAUGGAGGACAAGAACUCACAGUUAAUCUAGUAACCUUUGCCCUAAGAAAUAGGGAACUUGAACUUAAAAUUGAUUUGAAAGAUUGCAAGUAUAGUGAAAGGUUACACAUAAAGGAAAAACUAAAUCAAAACAAGAAAAAUAAUCCGUGUAACUUUAACUCUCACAAGAAAGGAAAAUAUCAGAACCCUAAAUUCAGAGAUAAAAACAUGAACCAAGCAAAAUACAAGAACCAAGUCAGAAAGUGUUCCUACUAUGGGAAAACAGGACAAUUGAUAAAAGACUAUUUUAAGAAAAUUUCUAAUUUGAAGAACGCACAAAAUACUGAUGGUUCUGCAGCUGCUGUCUGCAAGAAUGAACCUGAUAUUCAAGGAGUUGUUCUUGUUAAUACCCCCAAUAGAGACCCAAAAGAAUGGGUGCUAGAUUCUUGUUGCACUUUCCAUAUGUGCCCCAUUAAAGAUUGAUUUAUUGAACUUGUUGAUCUUAGUGGAGGAAAAGUUCAAAUGGGAAAUGACAUGAGUUGUCAGAUAAGGGGAAUUGAAAAUUUGAAUCUUCUGUUAAGCAACAACUAUAUACUUGAACUUGAUAAAGUCAGAUAUGUACCUAAACUAAAAAGAAAUUUGAUUUCUUUAGGAGAAUUGGAUGAGAAGUAUGACAUUAGGAUUCAUAAAAACUUUAUAAGAUUGAUCCUAAACAAUAAAGAAGUCAUAUCAUCUCCUAAAAUAAAUGGCAUCUAUACUCUUCAAGUUGAACCUUUAGUAGGUUAUGACUCUCCAGCUAUUAAUUCAUCCUUUGAUAAGUCAUUAAUAUGGCAUAAAAGACUUGGGCACAUGUCUGAAAAGGGACAAUUUUAAAUAAAAUGGGAUGUUUUGGAAAAGAUAAUAUUGAAAAGCUAAAUUUUUGUGAGGAUUGCAUAAUUGGAAAACGAAACAAAUUACCUUUUAAAUCUGGAACCCACAAAUCUACUGUUAUUUUAGAAUAUUUACAUGCUGACCUUUGGGGUCCAGCAUUUGUAAAUACUCUCAGUGGAUUCAGAUUUUACCUACUCAUUAUAGAUGAUUUUUCGAGAAAAAUAUGGACUUCUCUUUUAAAACACAAGUCUGAUACUUUUCAAAAUUUCAAACAAUGAAAAUUAAUGAUUGAAAACCAAACCAAUAAGAAAAUCAAAACAUUAAGAUUGAUAAUGGCCUUGAAUUCUGUAAUUUGGAUUUUGAUUCCUUUUGUAAGGAAUUUGGAAUUCUAAGGCACAGAACCGUAACAUACACCAUCAGCAGAAUGGAGUUGCUAAAAGAAUGAAUAGAACCUUAUUGGGGAAGGUCAGGUGUAUGUUACAUAGUUCUGGACUUCCAAAGUUCUUUUGGGGUGAGACCCUGAAAACAGCAACAUAUCUUAUAAAUAGAAGUCCCUCAUGUGCUAUUGACUUUCAAGUCCCGGAAAAUUUGUGGUCAAACUCUAUACCUGAUUAUAAUGGACAUAAAGUUUUUGGCUGUACUGCAUACUCCCAUCAAGAUGAAGAUAAACUUGAACCAAAAUCCUUGAAGUGUGUCUUCUUGGGGUAUGGGGAGGAAACUAAAGGGUAUAGACUUUGGGUUAAAUGCCAAAAAGGUUAUAGGGUCAUCAUCUAGAAAUGUCAUCUUCAAUGAAAAUAAUUAUCCUGUAAGACAUCAUCAUCUGGAAUAGAAUCUACUGAACCUAUACCUAUGAAGGAGGCUAUUCUUGAAAAUCAAAUAGUUGAAUCAAAUUAUCAGAAUGACUUAAUUGAGGUGGAGACCACGUAAUUAGAUAUUAAUCAGGGUCUAAGUGAACCUAAAGAUGAAAUCCCUAGCUGAUUACCAAUUAACUAGAGAUAGAGAUAAGAGGAAUAGGUUUCUAUCUUCUAGGAUCAGAAAGGAUGAAUUUGUUACAUGUUUCUCUGCUCUUAUCUCUAUAAAUUCUGAACAUUCUACCUUUGAAGAAGCUGUAACUUGUUCUGAAUCUAAGUUUUGGAAAUAAGCCAUGAGUGAAGAAAUGGAAUCAUUGAUUAAAAAUGGGACUUGGAUCUUAGUGAAUAAACCUAAAAAUUAGAAAGUUGUGGAUUGUAAAUGGAUCUUCAAGAUAAAAGAAGGGGACUCUAGUAUUGGAGAUAAAAGAUCCAAAGUUAGGUUGGUUGCUAAAGGGUUUACCCAAAAGGAAGGAGUGGACUAUUACAAAAAUUUUUCACCUGUUACUAAAUACACAACUAUAAGAAUUUUGCUUGCCUUAACUGCCCAUUUUAAUUGGGAACUUGAUCAGCUAGAUGUAAAGAUUACCUUCUUAAAUGGGGACCUUUAUGAGACCAUUUACAUGAAUCAACCUAAAGGUUUUGAAGAAAAAACUAAAACUGAAAAAGUCUGCCUAUUAAGAAAAUCACUUUAUGGCUUGAAGCAGACUCUCAGGCAAUGGUAUAAGAAGUUUAAUUCAUAUAUUCAAACCUUGGGUUUUGUCAAAAAUAAUUAUGAUUCCUGUUUCUUUUUCAAAGGGUUAGGUGGACCUGAAACCAUUUAUUUACUUUUAUAUGUUGAUGAUUUGUUGCUUGCCCAAAUAGAUCUGAAAUUGGUCUUAUUGAAGUAAAAUUAAAAUUUGAAUUUGAAAUGAACGAUCUAGGACAAGUUAAGAAGAUUCUUAGAAUGGAAAUAGAAAGGAAUAGGAAAGAUUGCACCUUAUGCUUAAAACAGUGUGCUUAUGUGAAGAAAAUACUUGAAAAUUUUUCUAUGACUGAUUGUAAACCUGCUUCUUUACUUGUUGCAAAUUAUUUUAAGCUGUCCAAUGAACAGUCACCAAAAAUUGUUGAAGAAUUUAAAAGAAUGGAAAAUGUACCAUAUGCAAACACUUUGGGGUCCAUAAUGUAUCUCAUGGUUUGUACUAGACCAAACCUAGCUCAUGAUAUAAGUAUACUAAGUAGAUUUAUGGCUAACCCUGGUGAGACUCAUUGGCUGGCUAUGAAAUGGAUUCUAAAAUACUUGAAAGGCUCAUUAGAUAUAGGCUUGCUGUUUAAGAAUAGCAAAGAAGGCAUAAUUCUUAAAGGAUACAGUGACUCUGAUUUUGCUGGAGACUUAGAUAAGAGAAGGUCCACUUCAUCAUAUGUUUACACUUUGUGUGAUGGGUGCAUUAGUUGGAAAUCUCAGUUGCAAAAGUUAGUUGCUUUGUCAUCCACGGAGGCAGAAUAUAUAAUUGCCUGUGAUGCUGUUAAAGAGGGUCUUUGGUUGAGAGGGUUAUUAAAUGAAAUUGGAUUCAUAAAUAAUUCUAUUAGAAUUUAUACUGACAAUCAGAGUGCUAUUCAUCUCAACCAAAAUCUUAUGUAUCAUGAUCAAACAAAACAUGUUGACAUUAAGUUUCACUUUGUGAGAAACAUGGUUGAAAAGGGUCUAAUAGUUUAGUAAAAAUUCCAACAGAAUUUAAUCCCUCUGAUUUAGGAACCAAAUUACUGCCUUUAACUAAGUUUAAAAACUGCUUGAAGAUUCUAAACAUCACUUGAAAGGUAGUGUGUUUAGAAAAAUCAAGCUGUACUGUUUUAAAUAUGUACUAACUUUCUCCUUUUUUGUUUUUACAGGUAAAUAAGAGCAAAUGAAAUAAGUUGAUAUCGAGACCCUAGAAAUUACCAAAAAUAGUUCAGUAAGGUGGAGAUUGUUAAGUAUUUGGGCUGCCUCAUAUUCAUGGUCCAUAAUAUAUGGGCCUAUGUUGCUGAGUGUGGAUAAUUGUUCAACCCGGGUGAAGAAAACGUGAUCCUUUUAAACGCGCCUCUUCAAUUAAUUGAUUCUUGAUCAGGCUGUACACUUGGCCAUCUUCCAACCGUUGAUCUGUGGCUCUUUGACUGAUUGCUUAAAGUAGUGUUUGGCCAUUCAUUUUAGAGACGGUUGAACUUUGUGUUUUAGGGUUUUCUCUCCACUUCCUCUCUAAGCACACUGUAUAUUCUUUGUGAGUUUCUUGAUUUGAAAAUCUGAGUGAUUUUGAGAUUCUACACUUGAUGUAUACUGUGAGAAAGGUUCUUAGUGAUUUGGUGUGGUUUUGUACUGUGUGUUGAGGCUAGAGGAAACAUCGAAGAAAUCUCUGAUUUCUUCGUACAUAUUGUAACUUUUCUUGGUGAUUUCUUAGUGGAUCUAGAGUUUUAUCCACUUGUGAAUGCUCAACGGGUGAGUAGGUCGUAAGACUGAACAUCCGGACCUUUUGUGGUGAAAAAUUCCUCGUGUUCUUGAUUCUUUUUAAGUUACUGCAAUUUUAAUAUGUUUUAUUUCUGAAAAUACAAUUUUAAACUAGAUCCUGAUACCAACAGAACCCAGAUGAAAAAUGCAUAUUCUAGUUCUCAAAUAACCUCCACUCUUCGUUGUUUACUAUCAUAUGAGAAAGAGUACCCAUUAUGAGAUUUAAAUUUCUUGGAACCUUUUUCUUUUAUUCCAUAUCAUUUCAUUUAAUCAGGCAUUUUCUGUACCUCAAUUAAGUUGGAGACAACAUGUCUUGAACUUCAACUACAACUUGAAAGGUACAAUCUAUUUUCCUAAUGUUAUAGUUAAGUUUAUUCAUCAGUAAUUAAUGACUCUUGUUGAUUCUUCAAGAUAUGUGUCAGUAAGCAGAAUCCACACGACAAUGAAAAUGAAGUAGAGAAGUUGCACAAAAGUUUUGCUCAGAAUUACGGGAGAAUAAAUUGAACAGGCAAGUUUAUAACAAUAGACUCAAUAAGGGUAAUGGAAAAAAUUUGACAUGUUGGUUAAUUUGUUGACAGUAAAUUUGUAAUCUCCGUAGCCAGACUUCCCCUUAACAUGUAUGUAAAAAAUUUCAUAUUGCUAAUGUUGUUUUCCUCUAAAUUUCUGCAAAUAUACUCCGAUAUUGUUCUAUUUGAUAGCUAUGUAGUCUUUCAUAUUCAAAGAUCAUAAACUGUGUUAAAUGAUUUCCUUUUAACAAUCAUAUUGUUUUAUAAUAGAAUUUUCCCAGCAUUUGUAAAAUUAUUAAAUUUUAUAUCUGUUUUGCGCAGCACAUAUCUCGUUAUCCGAUUCAAGAUUGCGAUUAUCCAACGUUAUUUAUUUAGUGUUUCAGUUGCUAUAUUUAGUUGUAAUUUGCUGUUCCCUAUAUUAUUCCCUCAUCUCGUAGAUGAGUAGAUGAUAUAAUUUUUUAUUUUAUUUUAUUUAUUAUUAUUAUUUUUUUGUGUGCAUAUAAUGUGCUAAAGAACGUUUGUGUUUUAUGUAUAGACAAAAUAAAACUUUUGUAAAUGAGACGGUUCGAUAAAUUUCUAUAUAAAGGCUGUUCUCUUCGUAUUGUUUUAUUGGUUUGUCCUAUUGGCAGUUAAUAUUUUGUGAAGAGUAAGGAGAAGAAGAUCUAACUGCUAAUAUCCAUAUCCGUAUCCAUAAUAUCUUCCAUAUGUAUGAAUUUGAACUAUUAAUUAUUUUUGUGAUUCUUGUUCUUUAUCAUGAUUAUCGUUAAAUUUAACAUCCCUGC
RNAcentral lists this long non-coding RNA (9328 nucleotides) under Olea europaea (common olive). Its description in RNAcentral is "long non-coding RNA (OEUR_LNC005892)". The record is from RNAcentral. Lineage: Eukaryota; Viridiplantae; Streptophyta; Magnoliopsida; Lamiales; Oleaceae.